UACAGAGGUCCCAAGCGUUGUUCGGAUUCACUGGGCGUAAAGGGUGCGUAGGUGGCGAGGUAAGUCGGAUGUGAAAUCUCCGAGCUCAACUCGGAAAUGGCAUUGGAAACUACCUUGCUCGAGGGUUGGAGGGGGGACUGGAAUACUUGGUGUAGCAGUGAAAUGCGUAGAUAUCAAGUGGAACACCAGUGGCGAAGGCGAGUCCCUGGACAACUCCUGACACUGAGGCACGAAAGCUAGGGGAGCAAACAGG
This 253-nucleotide ribosomal RNA is filed under the name uncultured bacterium. Its description in RNAcentral is "partial 16S ribosomal RNA". It matches the Rfam family "Bacterial small subunit ribosomal RNA", at positions 524 to 776 of the family's 1533-position model. The record is from RNAcentral.